This is a long non-coding RNA of Ornithodoros turicata, 1296 nucleotides long. RefSeq lists it as uncharacterized. Lineage: Eukaryota; Metazoa; Arthropoda; Arachnida; Ixodida; Argasidae. The record is from RefSeq and is a predicted model, not a curated record. The transcript is spliced from 3 exons.
CGAAGAGAAGUGAAUGACAUGUUCGUGGUUGUUGUGUCAAUUAUUCGAGAGACCUACAUAUGCCUGGUGUAGUUUUGGUGUUCGGGGAUGCAAAAAUCAUGUUCACCAUCGGCGGCGGGCGUGACUACGAAGAUGCCGUAGAAGGCGAAUUGCGAAGACGUCCGAAGCAUACUGAUGCUCAAUACCCAUUGAUUUUGCUUCACCGAGGUGACGAGUUCAACACAACGUCUUAGGGGCCUUCCAGUGUUGAAGUGGCGCAAAACUGUUUGGUGUGUCUGUGAUCAAGGCACUCAAGUUGACAUGACAGAAAUAGCUGAAAGCAGGUAUGCAAAGUCCACAGAUUGAAGCACUAGAUUUGUUACGUGUUGCAGACUUUGUGACUUUUUUUUUGAGUCUUUGGACAGGUGCAGAACAUUAGUAUGACGUCAACAAGGGGAGAAGAAACCGAUGAGAACUACUAGCUUGUUUGAAGGGUGCAAGAAUACUUCCUGUUGAGAUGUAGUCAUGACUUUAUGACUAAGGAACGCUAAUUAAUUUUCUAUAGAUGCAUCCUCUACACUUGGAUGCCCAGUGAAACAGCAAACGUUCGUGGUCUUUGAAGCCCCACUACUGGAAUUGUUCAAUGUGUGUCAGAGCUACAGUGUGAAGGUUACCACAUCAUAUUGGUCCUAAAUUUGCAGAGUUCCCCUAUCUCAGACGCAACUGUCAUUUCGCUUUAUUGCUCUUCCGAUCCUACCUUCUCAGAGAUUAAUGUGGUUCACCAUACACUGCAUGGGCACUGCCUUUCUCUAUACUCAUGUUUUCAGUUUCUUGUUCUGUUGAAUAGAUCUUCACUUGAGUUGGCAGCCAUCACGCUGUCUACUGUGUUUGCCCCUCAUCUAUAUUGAUGUGCUGUAACGGUAUAGCACAUCAACAUGCCAACGACCUACCAAACAACCUUGCCUAGUCCUACUUUUGGAUGGAAACUGCACGAUGUGGUAACAUCCACAUAUGUAAAGUUUUAGUCGACGGAGAUUUGCUGUUUUUGUACAACCUUCAUUGUACAUUUCUUUUGUCUCACUUAGCAUGCCUGAAGAAAUGUUCUGAUCUUCAUCAAGAUGACAGGUCGUCGUUCGAUCUGCAGCAUUAUUGUUCCUGUAACCUUUUCACCAACAGAGAAUACAAACGUGAACAAAUGGUUUUACAACUCUAUCAAGUACGUCAAAACAUCAGAGGGCAGGCAGUCCUACUCUGUUUCCUAAAUCCGUGGACAAUAAAAAAGAAAGAUAUAGUUUGAGUUGUGACAAAAUGUUGCUU